This 253-nucleotide ribosomal RNA is filed under the name uncultured bacterium. Its description in RNAcentral is "partial 16S ribosomal RNA". It matches the Rfam family "Bacterial small subunit ribosomal RNA", at positions 524 to 776 of the family's 1533-position model. The record is from RNAcentral.
UACGUAUGGGGCAAGCGUUAUCCGGAUUUACUGGGUGUAAAGGGAGCGCAGGCGGCCUGGCAAGCCUGAUGUGAAAUACCGGGGCCCAACCCCGGGGCUGCAUUGGGAACUGCCAGGCUGGAGUGCCGGAGAGGCAGGCGGAAUUCCUAGUGUAGCGGUGAAAUGCGUAGAUGUUAGGAGGAACACCAGUGGCGAAGGCGGCCUGCUGGACGGUGACUGACGCUGAGGCUCGAAGGCGUGGGGAGCAAACAGG